UCCCUGGGAAAUAAAUAAAAAAAUAUUAUAUAUCAGGAUUUUGAUUGCUCUGCAGCACUUUAUGACAAUGUCUUUUUGCACUGAGUUCCAAGAAGAACUGCAGACAAAGGUGUGUGUGCCUACGUGCAGAAGCUGGUGUAAAGGAAACUGAAAAGAGAAUGGGUGCAGAAAAUCAGGAUCAGGGAACCAGCUAUAAACUCAAGAGGACAACCUGCAAAAAAACCAGCAUCCAAAUGAUCACUUUGGAGACUUAAGAGGCACUAAAAAUCCCAUCUCUGCAUGCAGAAAGCCCGUGUUCAAUAAUUAUACCUGGCAAAGGCUCACCCCCACCAAUACUGUGAAGUGCUGAUCCCCGGAGAACCUUCUUCUUGUCCAGAGAUUAUAAUGUUGCCAUGUUCCUCCAGAGAUACACCUGCUGAGUAGCAAAAAGAGAACAAGCUUCUAUUUCUGCUCUUUCUGACAUAAGGAUGUUACACUACAAAAAAAUGUAAAUGUCACAAAGCCUCAGCAUGAUAGAUGCACACCUUUCCUUUGUAAAACACAAAUCCUAAUUUCCAUGUUGUGUUCAGGAUGCCAGUAUGGUUGUUAUAAAUAUGUUUUUCCCUUAUACCUUGGGAAACUAGAAUUGGAAGCUAUAAUUAGGUGCUGCCUUUGGCAGAGGAGGUCCUGUGGGAUAGCGCAGUGAAUACGGAGUGUUAGGAUAGAGCUUGCAACAGAAUUCUCGAGAUGCUUCUCACCCCUGGUGGGUUUCUUCAAACUUGUCAAAAUAACCUACUAGGUGGGUCACAUAAGGAUCAAGAAUAUAGAUAAAGGAUAAAGAAAAUGCUUGGCUGCUUAUUUCUGAAUCUCUCCUCUGAAUUAAAAUGAAAUGACUGUGAAGGAAGCUUCAUCUCCAGUUCCAUCCCACAUCUACGUUUCGUUAGGAAAUGAUAAUCAAAGUUAAGUGAAAUCCGACUAAUGACCAGUGGCACCUCGAAAGGUGAGCAGCUGAUAUCUUUUUUCAGAGCUUUGCAUUUUACUGAGCCAAAACGAUGGAUAGGUUCAUUCCCUUGUUUAAAAAGAGAGACUCUGAUAAUGAAGAAUCAUCACAAAACCCAUUAAAAUUCUUUUUUUUCCUUCCUGCUCAUCUCUGUUUCAAGAUACUACUAUAGUCCAAGCUUUGCAUAUCAGGGAAAAGGGACUUUGGAGUCAUAAUUAACGUUCUAGAGCAGAUGGCAGGCCUCAAAGUGGAUGCCUUCAACUAGUGAAAUGUUAUAGUUAUUAUCUUUACUCUUAAAUGUUCCAGUGUUGGAGUUGUGGUGGAUUUUGCAUUCAUGUUUUUUUUCUCUGUACCAGCUUUCAGAUUUGUUUAUGAAAAUCAACUGCCGGAAUAACAUCGAAUCUCCCAUUUCACAAGAUGUGAUUUUAUUUUUACAUAGACAAAAUAGAAGGUUGCAACGUGGGAGUAACACAUAAUCUAAUCUAUCCUUCCGAAACCAGAAAGUGCAGCUCCAGACGCCGGACAAGGGGGGAGAUGUAAUUGGCUGGGUUUCUGGAGAGCGUUAAUUGUCCUAAUUUAAAAAUGAUUGUAUUACUCCGUGGUGAUAGGGAAUUACAUAAUUUUGAUUGAAAUGUAUCCAAUAUUAAAUCUGGCUGUGUUAAAAAAAACAAUCCCACAACAUUGUUGUCUGGAAUGACCGAUGGGGAAGAUCAUUUACAUAAUCAGUCUGAGUGAUACAACAAAGGACUGUUCACAUGAUCAACUGUAAAAGUUCUUAAUCAGAAGGAUUACUGUUAUCAAAAAUAAACUACACAUUUACAAAUGUGCAAAGUGCAAAAUACGGAUCACUAAGUAUUUUUUACCCACCAAAUUCCAAUGCAAUUCCAGGCACCAGAGAAUUAGACCCACUGUAACUUGUACUACUACUACAUACAGAUGCAGCCACUUUGGUUUGUCUGUUUAACACAGAAUAACUAAACACAGAUAUC
Xenopus laevis (African clawed frog) is the source of this 1968-nucleotide long non-coding RNA. RefSeq lists it as uncharacterized. The transcript has 4 exons. NCBI's taxonomy places the organism in Eukaryota, Metazoa, Chordata, Amphibia, Anura, Pipidae. The record is from RefSeq and is a predicted model, not a curated record.